Molecule: unclassified non-coding RNA, 296 nt
Organism: Otolemur garnettii (small-eared galago)
Lineage: Eukaryota; Metazoa; Chordata; Mammalia; Primates; Galagidae
Rfam family: Metazoan signal recognition particle RNA
About the family: The signal recognition particle (SRP) is a universally conserved ribonucleoprotein. It is involved in the co-translational targeting of proteins to membranes.
Source: Ensembl
GCCAGAUGCAGUGGCAUAUGCCUGUAGUCCCAGCUACUUGGGAGGCUGAGACAGGAAGAUCACUUGAGUCCGGGAGCUCUGGGCUGUAAUACACUAUGCCGAUUAGGUGUCCACACUAAGUUCAGCAUCAAUAUAGUGAUCUCCCACGAGCGGGGGGCCACCAGGUUGCCUAAGGAGGGGUAAACCAGCCCAGGUCGGAAAUGGAGCAGGUCAAAACUCCCAUGCUGAUCAGUAGUGGGAUCGCACCUGUGAAUAGCCACUGCACAUAGCAAGACCCCAUCUCUUAAAAAAAAUAC